UCGGGAAUUUUGCGCAAUGGGCGAAAGCCUGACGCAGCAACGCCGCGUGAGGGAUGAAGGCCUUCGGGUUGUAAACCUCUUUUCUCAGGGACGAUUGUGACGGUACCUGAGGAAGAAGCCACGGCUAACUACGUGCCAGCAGCCGCGGUAAUACGUAGGUGGCAAGCGUUGUCCGGAUUUACUGGGCGUAAAGAGCGCGCAGGCGGUCGUACAAGUCCCGUGUGAAAGCCCCCGGCUCAACUGGGGAGGGUCACGGGAUACUGUUCGACUCGAAGGCAGGAGAGGGAAGCAGAAUUCCCGGUGUAGUGGUGAAAUGCGUAGAUAUCGGGAGGAAUACCAGUGGCGAAGGCGGCUUCCUGGCCUGUUCUUGACGCUGAGGCGCGAAAGCUAGGGUAGCAAAC
RNAcentral lists this ribosomal RNA (401 nucleotides) under uncultured bacterium. RNAcentral's name for it is "bacterial SSU rRNA". It matches the Rfam family "Bacterial small subunit ribosomal RNA", at positions 355 to 773 of the family's 1533-position model. The record is from RNAcentral.